GACGAACGCUGGCGGCGUGCUUAACACAUGCAAGUCGAACGGAAAGGCCUGCUUUCCCUUGUGGAUUGCGGGUACUCGAGUGGCGAACGGGUGAGUAACACGUGAGUGAUCUGCCCCCAACUUGGGUAUAAGCCUGGGAAACUGGGUCUAAUUCCCGAUAGGACUGCAGGGUGGUGCCUGUGGUGGAAAACGAUUUUCUAGUGGUUGGGGAUGAGCUCGCGGCCUAUCAGCUUGUUGGUGGGGUAAUGGCCUACCAAGGCGGCGACGGGUAGCCGGCCUGGGAGGGUGGACGGCCACAUUGAGACUGAGUUACGGCCCAGACUCCUACGGGAGGCAGCAGUGGGGAAUAUUGCACAAUGGGCGGAAGCCUGAUGCAGCGACGCCGCGUGGGGGAUGACGGCCUUCGGGUUGUAAACUCCUUUCGACCGCGAGGAAGCCACCUGGUUGGAAGGGUGGUGACGGUAGUGGUAGAAGAAGCACCGGCUAACUACGUG
RNAcentral lists this ribosomal RNA (494 nucleotides) under uncultured bacterium. RNAcentral's name for it is "partial 16S ribosomal RNA". It matches the Rfam family "Bacterial small subunit ribosomal RNA", at positions 28 to 507 of the family's 1533-position model. The record is from RNAcentral.